GACGAACGCUGGCUGCGUGCUUAACACAUGCAAGUCGAACGGAAAGGCCCUGCUUUUGUGGGGUGCUCGAGUGGCGAACGGGUGAGUAACACGUGAAUAACCUGCCCUUGACUUUGGGAUUACUUCAGGAACCUGGGGCUAAUACCGGAUAGGAGCUCCUGCUGCAUGGAGGGGGUUGGAAAGUUUCGGCGGUUGGGGAUGGACUCGCGGCUUAUCAGCUUGUUGGUGGGGUAGUGGCUUACCAAGGCUUUGACGGGUAGCCGGCCUGAGAGGGUGACCGGCCACAUUGGGACUGAGAUACGGCCCAGACUCCUACGGGAGGCAGCAGUGGGGAAUAUUGCACAAUGGGCGGAAGCCUGAUGCAGCAACGCCGCGUGCGGGAUGACGGCCUUCGGGUUGUAAACCGCUUUCGCCUGUGACGAAGCGUGAGUGACGGUAAUGGGUAAAGAAGCACCGGCUAACUACGUG
This 468-nucleotide ribosomal RNA is filed under the name uncultured bacterium. Its description in RNAcentral is "partial 16S ribosomal RNA". It matches the Rfam family "Bacterial small subunit ribosomal RNA", at positions 28 to 507 of the family's 1533-position model. The record is from RNAcentral.